RNAcentral lists this unclassified non-coding RNA (177 nucleotides) under uncultured fungus. RNAcentral describes it as "sequence contains ITS1". Lineage: Eukaryota; Fungi. The record is from RNAcentral.
CAUUAACAAAUUCCAAAACUCGUGUUUUUGACGCACUUUCUCCCCAAAAGAGAGGUGCGUCAAAGAUUAACACACAAACACACUCACAUUUAACAUUGACAACCAAUGGAGAACCAAUUAAUCAAUUAAUUGUUUAAACAACUUUUAACAAUGGAUCUCUUGGCUCUUGCAUCGAUA